GAAUGUGACCUAGUGAGCCUACUGCAGGUGAUGGUUGUUGUGUUCGGAGACUUCCCUCCUGUAUGCAUGCAGUCUCAUCCAGAGCCCGAACAAGAUCCUUGUUGGCUUCAGUUCCACAGACAAGCAGAGGUGCUUUCAAGGACAGAUGGAAGUUUGUAUCUGCAUUUAGCCAGUGAAGAUGAUCUACCUAUCCAGCAAGAAAAUGAAACCAGCUGUUAGCUUUGUGGACUGUUUGUGUGUUGGCUGUGAUGAAGUGUUUUGAUCCUGUGUACAGUGUCAGAUGGUAUCCAUUGAUUAUUUCAAGGUUAUUUCAUUGAUGAUUUCAGAUAAAUAACAGCAUGCUGUAUUUUUGUCAAAUGAUUUAGACUGUAAAUGUCAUGCAGCACCUGAUGAAAAACAUAUUGACCGUGUUUGGUAUGAAUGUAUUGGAUUCUUUUUUUAAAUAUGUACUUCAUUUGAACAUAACAAACUACAACAAACAAAUGUGGCAUUUGAAUGCUUGUGUGUUAAAAGACUCAAAUUGCUUUACAAGCUGUUCAUAAAACCUUAUAUGCACCCUAA
Anarrhichthys ocellatus (wolf-eel) is the source of this 561-nucleotide long non-coding RNA. RefSeq lists it as uncharacterized. The transcript is spliced from 2 exons. The record is from RefSeq and is a predicted model, not a curated record. NCBI's taxonomy places the organism in Eukaryota, Metazoa, Chordata, Actinopteri, Perciformes, Anarhichadidae.